CCCGGUGUGGUCUCCUCCUUCUCCUCCUCCUCCUAGCAGUGCUCAUGGCCGUGAAGUGAAAACACACGCAGUGACUCCUUCCAAACAGAAAUCCCAAAAGGCGGUCCAGCUCCCGUGAUCUCUCUCUCCGUUUCCCUCCUAGCGGCAAACACACAAAAACACGCAGAGUAACUAAACAAUCCUCGGCUCAACAUGCUAUGUCCACACGUACACGGGUAUUUUUGAAAACGGAGAUUUUCCGUUUUCGUUUUAAAAAAUAAUCCCGUCCACACGUAAAGACAGAAAUGAAGGAAAACGCUGCUAGGAGCAUGCCAAAGCAGCAGGUGGCGCUAUAUUCCUAACCGUGUAGAAAUGUUGGCCAAUCAGAAGUCUAGAAGCCUCGGUGGGAAAUAGUAAACAAAGCUGAGGCAUAGAAGCAGAACCGAGUCGUAUGUGUGGAGGGACAGUAACUGUGUGUGUAUAUGUAAGCAUUUAAACACUGCAGAGAGUACAAUUAACACUAACAGUAUUGUAGAAAUUCAUUUCACCGAAACAACAACGUGGCGCACACUGUGACAUCAGAAAAGGCGCACACCUUUGACGCUGCGUUUUCUCCGUUUUUCUCGUCUACACGUAAAUGCAAAAACGGAGUUUUAGAAAAUAUCCACCCUGGCCGGAGUUUUUAGAAAUCUCCGUUUUCAGUGACCGAAAACGCCGUUUACGUGUGGACGAAAGGUGCAAACGCAUAGAAAAAUCUGCGUUUUCAAAAAUACCCGGGUACGUGUGGACAUAGCCUAACUGCCACAAAAACCGUCCGCGCUGCUCUACCGUGCUUCACACAAUGAUCCAGCGCUGACUGAAGCUCGAUCGCCCUGUUAAGAAGGCAGCCCGGGAGAUGGCGGAUAAUUGGUUACAGCUGGUCGGCUCCGAUCAACAACAGGUGCGGUCAGACUCAGCGCGGGAACACUCUCGGGAAUGCUCGUCACCGCUCGGAGCCGGAUCCAUCACCCGCUUACCUGUCAGCUGUUUUUGAAGCCACAUUUCCGGGAUCACUACGGAGAUCAAUCACAGCGUUUCUCCCACAUCCCGAGACUCCUCGCCCGAGCCUGUACAGCCAGUGUGACAAAUCCACCCUGCGUGCGCGGGUAACCCCUUUCCCUCCGAAUGCGUGUCAGCCUCCUGCCCUGGUUUCCCUCUGUUUAUUCAUCAGUAUUAUCUCAUCCCGUGUAAAUAAGUUUGACACAGUAAAUAAAGAGCACUCCCUGCAUUUUCUGCGCUUCUGUGUAUUCUGCCAUAGAGUCCGUUCACUCAGCAUAACAAUAGAGGUGUAGUUUAUGUCUGUGAACAGUGAACACCCGUGUGCACACCUGUGUGGAUCAGCCCGCUUGUAUUCAAAAGGUUUCCCCAUGUAAUGCUCUGCUAGAGGGUGUAGAGGGCCAUAGCCCCGCCAUAGCUGGACUGGCGAUUGGCGAUUUUUUGUUUUUAUGGGCCGAUGGAUUUUUUUUUUUUUUUUUUUUUUUUUUAGGAAGGGUAUAUAUAAUGAAAGGUGUUGGAUUGGCCAAUUGGUCAUGAUCGACUCUGGGCUGGACCAAUUACAGCCGAGGAGGCCGGAUGCACCCUCCCCCUUGUUUAGCAAUCUUAUAGACGAACUAAAGAAAAUGGAGAACAAAAAAAAGGAAAGGAGGUGUUUAUGAAAAUAUCACUAAAUCUGUCAUUUAUUAAUUUUAAUAUUAACUAGAAAAAUUUGCAUUUCCUGCGAAAAUGCAGUGUGGAUGCUGUAAUGCUGAAGCUGUCUGCUGAAACUAGCAGAAAAAGCUGAAAAGUUGCAGAAUUUGUAAAAACUUUGCAAAAGCAAAGGAACU
This is a long non-coding RNA of Oreochromis aureus, 1841 nucleotides long. NCBI's taxonomy places the organism in Eukaryota, Metazoa, Chordata, Actinopteri, Cichliformes, Cichlidae. The record is from Ensembl.